GACGAACGCUGGCGGCGUGCUUAACACAUGCAAGUCGAACGGAAAGGCCCUGCUUUUGUGGGGUGCUCGAGUGGCGAACGGGUGAGUAACACGUGAGUAACCUGCCCUUGACUUUUGGAUAACUUCAGGAAACUGGGGCUAAUACCGGAUAGGAGCUCCUGCUGCAUGGUGGGGGUUGGAAAGUUUCGGCGGUUGGGGAUGGACUCGCGGCUUAUCAGCUUGUUGGUGGGGGAGUGGCUUACCAAGGCUUUGACGGGUAGCCGGCCUGAGAGGGUGACCGGCCACAUUGGCCUUGAGAUACGGCCAAGACUCAUACGGGAGGCAGGAGUGGGGAAUAUGGCAAAAUGGGCGGAGGCUGGAUGCAGCAACGCCGCGUGCGGGAGGACGGCCUUCGGGUUGUAAACCGAUUUCGCCUGUGCCGAAGCGUGAGUGCCGGAAAUGGGGAAAGAAGCACCGCCGACCUACGG
This 467-nucleotide ribosomal RNA is filed under the name uncultured bacterium. RNAcentral describes it as "partial 16S ribosomal RNA". It matches the Rfam family "Bacterial small subunit ribosomal RNA", at positions 28 to 506 of the family's 1533-position model. The record is from RNAcentral.